Molecule: ribosomal RNA, 1581 nt
Filed under: Triticum aestivum (bread wheat)
Lineage: Eukaryota; Viridiplantae; Streptophyta; Magnoliopsida; Poales; Poaceae
Description: partial small subunit ribosomal RNA
Source: RNAcentral
AUGGUGGCCAUGAAGACGAAGGGGCAGGAGGACGAGGCGCCCGAGGAGCGCGUGCCGCACCUGCCGUGGAUGCGGCACCCCGUCGACAUCGACUCCUUCUCCGGCUGCCCCGUCACGAGCCUCCCCCGCCUCGACCCCAGAUUGGCAGAAGCGUUGCAGCGGAUGGGAAUCGAAUCUUUUUUCCCAGUUCAGGUUUCGACAUGGCUGGAAACAAUUGGCCCUGGUGCUUUUCAGAGGGAUAUCUGUAUUAACUCCCCGACCGGGUCCGGCAAAACUCUUGCUUAUGCCUUGCCUAUUGUGCAAAUGCUCUCCACUCGGAAAGUAAGGUGCUUGCGUGCUUUGGUUGUGCUGCCUACACGGGAUUUAGCAUUGCAGGUUAAAGAGGUUUUUGAUGUUAUUGCUCCUGUGGUGGGCUUGACAGUAGCAUCAGCGGUUGGUCAGUCCUCCAUUGCGGAUGAAAUCUCAAAUCUGAUCAAGAAGUCCAAACAAGAGCUUUACCCAUCGCUUGAUGAUGAAUAUGUCGAAAUGGAACCACAGACUAAAGUUGAUAUAUUGGUGGCAACACCUGGAAGAUUGAUGGAUCAUAUCAACAUGACUAAAGGUUUUAGUCUGGAGCAUCUUCAAUACCUGGUUGUUGAUGAGACAGAUAGGAUGUUAAGGGAGGCAUAUCAGUCCUGGUUGCCAACAGUUAUCCAGUUUACUCGCCCGACUAAUCAAGAUCAUUUCCGGCAUGACACUGCUGGACGAACUCUACUGCAUCCAUUGACCACCAUCAGAAGAUCGGGCGUCGAACGAGGAUUUAAAGGUAAAUGCUAUCCAAGACUGGCAAAGAUAGUCUGUUCUGCUACACUGACCCAAGACCCCAGCAAACUUUCUCAACUUGAGCUGCAUCAUCCUCUGCUGUUGAAUAGUGGAAAGAAGCGUUACAGAAUUCCUACAAAGCUGGAGUCCUACAAGCUGAUUUGUACAUCAAACAUAAAGCCGCUGUGCCUCAUUGUUCUUCUCCAAGAGCUGCGUGGGGAGAAGUGCUUGGUUUUUACCAAAUCUGUAGAUGAUAGUCACAGACUAAGCACUUUACUGGGAUUUUUUGAUGACUUGCCCUUUAAGUUUAGUGAAUUUUCAAGUUUGCAGCGUGAAUCUACUCGAAGGAAGACGUUGGCAGCCUUCAAGGAAGGGAAAAUAGAUGUUCUCAUUGGCUCAGAUAUAAUGGCUCGAGGAAUACAUAUUGACGGUUUGAGAUAUGUUAUCAACUAUGAGAUGCCGCAGUAUGUGAAAACAUACAUCCACCGAGCAGGCCGAACUGCCAGGGCAGGCGAAUCUGGUUCUUGCUUCACGUUUUUAAGGAAAAAUGAGGUUAAAAGAUUUGCCAAGAUGCUGAAGAAGGCAGAUGGUUCUAGCUGCAUCCUUCGCUCGCUACCCGAGGAAUCAAUAGAUAGCCUUCGCCCAGUUUUUGAGACCGCUCUGGAGAAACUGAAAGAUAAAUUGAAAGGGUCUGCCGAACCAGAAGCAUCGAAGAAAUCCAACAAGUCGGGAGAUAAAGCGCCGGGAGCUUUGAAAAGAAAGAGAGGCAAGCAAACGUGA